RNAcentral lists this ribosomal RNA (470 nucleotides) under uncultured bacterium. RNAcentral's name for it is "bacterial SSU rRNA". It matches the Rfam family "Bacterial small subunit ribosomal RNA", at positions 365 to 825 of the family's 1533-position model. The record is from RNAcentral.
UUCGCAAUGCCCGAAAGGGUGACGAAGCGACGCCGCGUGUGGGAAGAAGGCCUUCGGGUUGUAAACCACUGUCGGGAGUUAGGAAAUGUAAGGGUGCUAAUAGUAUCCUUACUUGACUAAGGCUCCGGAGGAAGCCACGGCUAACUCUGUGCCAGCAGCCGCGGUAAUACAGAGGCGGCAAGCGUUGUUCGGAAUUAUUGGGCGUAAAGAGCACGUAGGCGGCUAUGUAAGUCGGUUGUGAAAGCCUUCCGCUCAACGGGAGAACAGCAUCCGAUACUGCAUGGCUUGAGUGCGGGAGGGGAGAGUGGAACUUCUGGUGGAGCGGUGAAAUGCGUAGAUAUCAGAAGGAACGCCGGCGGCGAAAGCGGCUCUCUGGCCCAUAACUGACGCUGAGUGUGCGAAAGCUAGGGGAGCAAACGGGAUUAGAUACCCCGGUAGUCCUAGCCGUAAACGAUGGGCACUAAGUAGAG